CGUGCUGCACGUGUAGAAUUGCAGGAGAGCAUUUCAAAAAUGCAAGCCGAGUAUGACAACAAGUUGGAAAAUUUACGAGCCAAAUAUGAUAACAAGUUGGAAAAUUUACAACAACAAGUGGCUAUGCUAAUGUAGAUGCAACAACAAAAUUGUAGUGGACAGGGUUCUGAUUCUUUAAAUGCUCCUCCUAGAGUAUCCCCAAAUUCAUUUUAUAGUCGUGAUGCCAAUUCAAUUAAGGUUAUGAACUUUUAAUUUCUCUUAUAUAUAUGUUAAAUUUUCAUUUAUUAUAAUGUGUGCGUAAUGAAUUUAUAAAAAAUGUAGGGUAAUUCAAAUCAAAUGGGCAACAAGACUUGUUGAAGUUGAAGAUGGGGUUGUGGCUGUGCUUUUUGAAUUUCCUUCGCUUUGGAUGGGUUCUUUUUGAAAAACUUGUACUACAUUUGUCAAAAAUUCUUAAUUCUUUUUGUCUUGACAUUUAGUAGCUUUAUUUAGACAAUUUGGGUGGUAUAUUGGCAGGUUAACUUGUGGUUGUAUUAGUAUACAUUUUUGCUUUUUGGUUUACAUUUAUCAGCUUAACUUGUGGUUGUAUUAGUAGCCAAUUUCGAUGGUAAUUUUCAUAUUGGCAUGGUUAA
Cornus florida is the source of this 629-nucleotide long non-coding RNA. RefSeq lists it as uncharacterized. The transcript has 2 exons. The record is from RefSeq and is a predicted model, not a curated record. Lineage: Eukaryota; Viridiplantae; Streptophyta; Magnoliopsida; Cornales; Cornaceae.